Molecule: long non-coding RNA, 330 nt
Organism: Lagopus leucura (white-tailed ptarmigan)
Lineage: Eukaryota; Metazoa; Chordata; Aves; Galliformes; Phasianidae
Exons: 3
Source: RefSeq, a predicted model, not a curated record
ACCCCAUUGAGCCCCCCAGAACUCCAUAGCUCCUUCGCAAAUCCCUUUGUAGACCCUCUGGAUCCCCUCCCCGCUCUUAAGGCUUUUCCCCGUCGCUAGGCCUCACGGUUGCUAAGCAACCGACAGGGGCGACGCCACUUCCGGGGUCACUUCCGGUCGCGUCGCUACGGCAACCAAAGAUGGCGGUCUUGGAGGAGGAAAGUUCUUCCCUGUGGCUGGCGGCGCACGAUGACGCCAUGUCCGGGCUGCGCACGUUCAGCACGUGUAUGGCGCUGGCGGACCUUCAUGGCGAUGGGGACCACAAGGUUUGGGGCCAUGUGGGGCUGUGGG